AUUAGCGUACAAGUACUGCAUGAAAGAUGACUCUGCCGCUGCCAUGGUUAUGUUGGAAAGGCUAGAAAAGAAGCUCUGGAUCCACACGGUGAAUACAUUGGUCAGGAAGCUUAGUAGUGACAAGAAAGUAGGGAUAGCAGCAUUGUUCUUUCAUAAAUUAGUGGACAAUGACCAGAACGUGGAUCGCGUGACACUGGCAGACACAGACGAUCUAACCUCCAUCGUAUCCCUCAUCUCGCCGCCGUCUCCUUUCUCUCGCCGAUCGUUGGGCCAGUUCCGUCUACAAGG
Molecule: long non-coding RNA, 288 nt
Filed under: Malus domestica (apple)
Lineage: Eukaryota; Viridiplantae; Streptophyta; Magnoliopsida; Rosales; Rosaceae
Description: long non-coding RNA (MDOM_LNC009587)
Source: RNAcentral